RNAcentral lists this transfer RNA (67 nucleotides) under Nabicerus dentimus. RNAcentral's name for it is "tRNA-Glu". Lineage: Eukaryota; Metazoa; Arthropoda; Insecta; Hemiptera; Cicadellidae. RNAcentral also lists the same sequence under 1 other name. The record is from RNAcentral.
AUUCAUGUAGUUUAAUCUAAAACACUUUAUUUUCAUUAAAAAAAAAGAAAUACAUUUCUCUUGAAUG